UGGGGAAUCUUCCGCAAUGGACGAAAGUCUGACGGAGCAACGCCGCGUGAGUGAAGAAAGGGUUUUCGGAAUCCGUAAAAACUCUGUCUUUUUGGGGCGAACGUGAGUAUGGUGAAACAAUCAUAGUCAGUGACGGUACCAAAGGAGGAAGCCACGGCUAACUACGUGCCAGCAGCCGCGGUAAUACGUAGGUGGCAAGCGUUGUCCGGAAUUAUUGGGCGUAAAGAGCGCGUAGGCGGGAUAGUCAGUCUGUUGUAAAAGUGCGGGGCUCAACCCCGUGAUGGCAAUGAAACAGCUAUUCUUGAGUGCAGGAGAGGAAAGUGGAAUUCCCAGUGUAGCGGUGAAAUGCGUAGAUAUUGGGAGGAACACCAGUGGCGAAGGCGACUUUCUGGACUGUGUCUGACGCUGAGGCGCGAAAAGCCAGGGGGAGCGAACGGGGAUUAGAUACCCCCGGUAGUCCUGGCCGUAAAACGAUGGGUA
Molecule: ribosomal RNA, 480 nt
Filed under: uncultured bacterium
Lineage: Bacteria
Description: partial 16S ribosomal RNA
Rfam family: Bacterial small subunit ribosomal RNA
Source: RNAcentral